UAGGGAAUCGAUCUUACCGAUUUUCGUCGCGAAGCGACGAAAAUCGGGAUCGAAUCCCACUACGGUAACAUACGAGGGUAUCCAAACAACACAUACUAUCCAAAUAAAAAAAUAUGGAGUUCCGGUUUAGACCAUGGGCGUGCGACGACCCCGAUGAAAUUCGGGAUAUCACGGUCUUCGUUAAUGUUAAUAAGCGUCCGUCAGAUCAGUAGGCGAAACGCAAUAUCCGCACAAUAAGAUGUCUGCGACUCGGAAAGAAUAUUCAAAAAUAUGGACGGCACUCCAGUACAGCAUGUGCAUGGUUGGACCUGUUGACAUUUUUAGAAACGCAUCUUGGCAUUAUACAGAGUAUUGUUGUACUGCUCCAAAGUGCUUGUUGACAGACUGAAACCACUUGCUUGCAGCUCUUAAGGUUUACUUCUUGAGAGCCGUCAGCUACAAAAUGGAAGGUCAACAAAUCCAGUAUACUUGAAAAGCAAGAAAGAAACACCAGAAAAUAUGAAAAGACAGAAGAACAAGAGAACUUGAAUAAAAAAAAAACUUUUAAGGAUAGGAAUUCAGGAUUUACUUGGAAACUAAAUUUAUUUUGAGAACAGCAGUGAUUGACGAAGCUCUGUUACUUAAAGAGAUAAUGUAUUAUCACAUUGGCUUUGUUAUUGUGGAGCCCGCUUGCGGAAGCAAAGACAUAGUUGUCCAAAUGUCUGUUCGGUGUAUGUGCAUGUGUGCGUCUGUCCGGAUUUGUUUGUCCAGACCAUAACUUGGACAUGCAUGGAGCAAUCUUGUUUAUAUUUGGUAUAAUGUUAACCUCAGUGAGACGGAGUGUUGUGCACAAACCCCAGGUUCCUAUCUCAAAGGCCAAGGUCACACUUACAGGUCAAAGGUCAAAUCCAAAAAUGAUUGUCCGGAGCAUUUCUUCUUCAUGCAUGGAGGGAUUUUGAUGUAACUUGGCACAAUUGUUCAUCAUCAUGCGACAGAAUGUCUUGCGUAAGAUCCUAGAGUUACUUCCCUUUGUUACUAUAAAUAGCUUACAUUUGUAACUUUUUUAUUACUGGUCAUAGGGAAAAAUCAAGACCACUUUUCUGUAGUACAACAUGCAUGUUACAUCCAAUUUUCAGGUGUAUUUUGACCUAUCUCUGCUGGUGCGGAUUUUUGUGUGGACUUAGAAUUUUUUUAUAUAUUUUUUUUAUGCCCCUGAAGGUAGGCUUAUAGUUUUUGAACCGUCUGUCGGUCUGUCCGCAAUUUUCGUGUCUGGUCCAUAUCUUUGUCAUUGAUGGAUGGAUUUUCAAAUAACUUGGCAUGAAUGUGUACCACAGUAAGACGACAUGUCGCGCGCAAGACCCAGGUCCGUAGCUCAAAGGUCAAGGUCACACUUAGACGUUAAAGGAUAGUGCAUUGAUAGGCUUGUCAGGUCCAUAUCUUUGUCAUCGAUGGAUGGAUUUUCAAAUAACUUGGCAUGAAUGUGUACCACAGUAAGACGACAUGU
Long non-coding RNA from Mercenaria mercenaria, 1483 nucleotides. RefSeq lists it as uncharacterized. The transcript is spliced from 4 exons. Lineage: Eukaryota; Metazoa; Mollusca; Bivalvia; Venerida; Veneridae. The record is from RefSeq and is a predicted model, not a curated record.